This 541-nucleotide unclassified non-coding RNA is filed under the name Hevea brasiliensis (rubber tree). The record is from RNAcentral. Lineage: Eukaryota; Viridiplantae; Streptophyta; Magnoliopsida; Malpighiales; Euphorbiaceae.
CUCUUCCGCACACAGAGGAAGAAGAAACCAAGAAACAGAGUAACGCUAACUCACAAACACUCUCUCUGGAAGACUAGAACUUUGUUGUCUCUGUUGCUUUUUUAUCUCAGCAAUGUAGCUCCCAGACAAAAAUCUGUUUCGAAAUGGCCAAAUGUCACCGAAAUAACAUCGGAUCCUUAAUCCUUGAUCACUCCUCCGCCACCAAUGCGUCCGCUGGCGGCCAUUUCAGAUUUUCCACUGCCUUCUCCCCUGCUGCAUUCCGCCGUAAAAUUUUUGACGCUGUUAGCUGUGGUGGCAGCUCCCGCUAUCGCCACCAUGAUGACGACUUUUCCUCCACCACGACAACAACAACCACCACCACGACCACCAUUGCAAGUAUCAUGGCGUUGUCAGGUAACAAUAAUGCCAGUGUGAAAAAGACAGGGAGAGCGAGAAAUGGAAAGUCGGAGAAGUUAUCGGAUCUGUUGAGUAUUGCAGAAGUGGAGACUGAAAUCGAGACGAAGAAGAAAGUCGAGGCAUUGGAAGAGCUGAAACGAGUAGU